Stagonospora sp. is the source of this 118-nucleotide transfer RNA. It matches the Rfam family "tRNA". Rfam says of the family: Transfer RNA (tRNA) molecules are approximately 80 nucleotides in length. Their secondary structure includes four short double-helical elements and three loops (D, anti-codon, and T loops). The record is from Rfam. Lineage: Eukaryota; Fungi; Ascomycota; Dothideomycetes; Pleosporales; Massarinaceae.
GGUGAGAUGGCCGAGUUGGUUAUGGCGCCAGGUUAAGGUCUCUCCUUAGCACAAGUGUAGAAUCUCUUCUAUAUUCCUGGUCACGAAAGUGGCGUGGGUUCGAGUCCCACUCUCAUCA